RNAcentral lists this ribosomal RNA (158 nucleotides) under Zychaea mexicana. RNAcentral describes it as "5.8S ribosomal RNA". It matches the Rfam family "5.8S ribosomal RNA". From Rfam's summary of the family: 5.8S ribosomal RNA (5.8S rRNA) is a component of the large subunit of the eukaryotic ribosome. It is transcribed by RNA polymerase I as part of the 45S precursor that also contains 18S and 28S rRNA. Functionally, it is thought that 5.8S rRNA may be involved in ribosome translocation. Lineage: Eukaryota; Fungi; Mucoromycota; Mucoromycetes; Mucorales; Lichtheimiaceae. The record is from RNAcentral.
CAACUUUUAGCAAUGGAUCUCUUGGUUCUCGCAUCGAUGAAGAGCGUAGCAAAUUGCGAUAAUUAGUGCGAAUUGCAGACAUUGUGAAUCAUCGAGUUCUUGAACGCACCUUGCACCUAGUGGUUUAUUCUACUAGGUACGGUUGUUUCAGUAUCACA